AGUGAACGCUGGCGGCAGGCCUAAUACAUGCAAGUCGAACGGCAGCACAGCAGAGCUUGCUCUGUGGGUGGCGAGUGGCGGACGGGUGAGGAAUACAUGGGAAUCUGCCCAGUCGUGGGGGAUAACGUAUGGAAACGUACGCUAAUACCGCAUGCGCCCUAAGGGGGAAAGCCGGGGACCGCAAGGCCUGGCGCGAUUGGAUGAGCCCAUGUUCGAUUAGCUAGUUGGCGGGGUAAAGGCCCACCAAGGCGACGAUCGAUAGCUGGUCUGAGAGGAUGAUCAGCCACACUGGAACUGAGACACGGUCCAGACUCCUACGGGAGGCAGCAGUAGGGAAUAUUGGACAAUGGGCGCAAGCCUGAUCCAGCCAUGCCGCGUGAGUGAAGAAGGCCCUCGGGUUGUAAAGCUCUUUUGUUGGGGAAGAAAAGCAUCUGGUUAAUACCCGGGUGUUCUGACGGUACCCAAAGAAUAAGCACCGGCUAACUUCGUGCCAG
RNAcentral lists this ribosomal RNA (494 nucleotides) under uncultured bacterium. Its description in RNAcentral is "bacterial SSU rRNA". It matches the Rfam family "Bacterial small subunit ribosomal RNA", at positions 29 to 511 of the family's 1533-position model. The record is from RNAcentral.